RNAcentral lists this ribosomal RNA (253 nucleotides) under uncultured bacterium. RNAcentral's name for it is "partial 16S ribosomal RNA". It matches the Rfam family "Bacterial small subunit ribosomal RNA", at positions 524 to 776 of the family's 1533-position model. The record is from RNAcentral.
UACGUAGGGGGCAAGCGUUGUCCGGAAUUAUUGGGCGUAAAGAGCGCGUAGGCGGUCCGAUAAGGCGGCUGUGAAAGUCAGGGGCUCAACCCUUGGAAGCCGGCCGAUACUGUCGGACUAGAGUCCGGAAGAGGCGAGUGGAAUUCCCGGUGUAGCGGUGAAAUGCGCAGAUAUCGGGAGGAACACCAAUGGCGAAGGCAGCUCGCUGGGACGGUACUGACGCUGAGGCGCGAAAGCGUGGGGAGCAAACAGG